Bubalus bubalis (water buffalo) is the source of this 2247-nucleotide long non-coding RNA. RefSeq lists it as uncharacterized. The transcript has 5 exons. Lineage: Eukaryota; Metazoa; Chordata; Mammalia; Artiodactyla; Bovidae. The record is from RefSeq and is a predicted model, not a curated record.
CUUACAGGUCGGUGCCGAGCCGCGUGAAGCCGGAGUUGAGCGAGGCCCGGGCUAUCCGGCGCCAGAGCAGGUCGCAGCUGGUGAAGCGCCGCAGCCAGCGGCACACCUGAGCCAGGCGGCCGAGGGCCUGCAUGUCCAGAAGAUGAAACUGAAGCAUAUGGUCACACCGUUCCUAAAUAACAGAACAGUACCCACGCCUCCCUAGAUGUUCUUUAGCAUAACAUCAACUCAGUCAAAAGAGAUCAACAAAUAUUUACAGAGGAGGAAGGAGAGACAGAUGGGGAAGGGGACAGCUGUGAUUACUGACCCAUCCUGCCCCAGCUUUCCCUCAGAGUGGCUUUGGAUACAAGCUCAAAGCAGCAAUUAAGCUGGUUCCUGAACUUUGGUCCAGCACUUCCAAAGGCACCUCCACCCUCCAGCAAGUCAUCCUGCCUUGUGUCCUGUUUCCCAGCUGAAGUUUGGCUUCUCCAUCCCUCACUCUUCUCCACCUCCAGCUCCUCCUGUGCUCUUCCCCAGGGUGCAGGUACUCACAACUAGGAUAACAUGGAGAACUUAACAAAGAGGAGGAGGAAGAAGAGAAAUUUUAAAACUCAAGCUGAGCCCAGCCCCAUCAGAAAGAACUAGUCCUGAGGCUGCAAGGACUAGACGCGACUGUGACAUUUGCCCACUAGGCAUAGUAUGUAUGUUCGUGCUAAGCUGCUUCAGUCGUGUCUGACUCUUUUCGACCCUAUGCCCCAGGCUCCUCUGCCCUAUUCCCGACCCAGAGGUCAAACCCAUGUCUCUUUACAUCUCCAGCAUUGGCAGGCGGGUUCCUUACCACUAGCGCCACCUGGGAAGCUCCACUAGGCUCAGUGGAACCACGGAAGCCCCAUCUGAAAGAAUCAGCCCAUCAGAAGGCACUCAGGUGAGCUGGGUCUUUCUGCCACUGAGACCACCCCAGGCCCUGAGGAUUUGCAUGACUUAAAGUCACACAGAAGCCCCAGUACCUGCACAGUAAGGCUCUUCCCUGAGGAGAAGCCUGGAAAAGAUUUGGAAAGGCGGGGGGGGCAGGUGGGGAGAGUAGCAGCAGAGCUGUAGAAAGGAUGGAGGGACAGCAAAGGUGGGGAGACAGCGUCAGGUGGCCUCCGGAAUGAGAGCGAUGGCCUGUGAGGUGUGGGUGGGGCAAGAUGAGAAGGUAUGAAGGAAAGAUUACAGAGGGGAUUGGCGGUUCUGUGGAACCUGUGGGGAAGGGGCUCCUCCUCUCUUCUCCAGGGUGGGCUUGAAAAGGAUAAGGAAUGGUGACUGAGAGCUCACUCGGUGCUACUUUACAUACCUUUAAUCCUAAGAGGGAGGUUGAGUAAUUUGCUCAAAAUUCCACAGUUAUUAAUUGAUACAGCCAACUUUCAACCUCAGAUCUGACUCCUAGAUGCCUGGCUGUCUUCCGAGCCUAAGGGCCUUCCCAGCUCCACACCUGUACAAGGGGUGCACUGAGAGAGGAGAGAAGGGGAGAAAGACGGCAGUGCGAGGAGAUGAGGGAAGAAGGGAGCAACCAAGAUACGGAAAAAGAAGAGAACAGGAAGGGGAUAGGAAAGAGAAGAGACUAAAAAAGGAUGGGGAGUGAGGAGGAAAGGGGCAAGGUAAGGGGGAAUGAUAGGAAAGGAAGAACCAGGAGAGGAAAAAAGAUGGAGCCAUAGUGGAACAGAAGGUUGAGCCAGAGGAAGGGGGAGAGGGAUUGGGGCAGGGUCUUAGAGGAGUCAGAAUCACCUGGAGUAUAAGCCUAGGAGCUGAAGGAAAAGGGCUGGAGUUUAGUAGGUGUUUGUGGUUUUUUUCUUUUUUUUUUCCUUGCUGUGAAAGUAUGGAGUGUGGGGAUCAUUGCCUAUGGAGCUGUCAACAGACUAGUCAGCUCAGCCAAGUGUCUGUUGGAGGGAAACUGGAACUGAGGUCAGACUCCUCAUGGCCUCUAUUGUGGGUGUCUCAGAUCCUACAUUUGAUCUUAAAAUUGUAAACUCGGAAAAGCAGAUUUUUCUUUUUCUUUUUGGUUUUUGCUGGGGCCCUGGGCUUCAGUCUCUAAAGGGAAAGUUAUUGGAGGAGGAAGGCAUUCCAGAAAGGAAAGAGCAAUAGAAUAUAAGUAACAAAAGGGAAUGAAAGAGGGCUUCCCUGGUGGUCCAGUGGUUAAGCAUCUGCCUGCCAAUGCACAGGGCACAGGUUCGAUCCCUGAUCCAGGAAGAUCCCACAUGCCUUGGAGCAACUAAGCCAUGAGCCACAGCU